AAUCUAAAGCAUUAUCAUGAAGUAUGUUUUAAAUAUAUAUGUUUUCUACUUCAUGCAACUUAGCUAUGCAUUAGUUCUAGAACACAAUAUAUUUUAUAUUGCACAUACUCAAAUACUGUGUAUAUGUUUAAAUCUUAAAUUUUGCAUAUACUCAGUGUUUUGUCAUCAUUAAAAAGGGGGAGAUUGUUGACCCCCUAAUGGAUUUUGAUGAAUACAAAACACGAGAGUAUAAUUUCAUUGAUCUUAACAAUUUAAUUGAGGAUUUCAUGUGUUUAAUUAAGAAUAUUGUUAAGAAAUGUCUAGGCAAGUUCCCAUGAUUUUUAAGGACUUAUUGAAGAAUUUUUUGAGAUGAAAGAAAAAGUUCAGGGACAGCCGAGACGUCUCCGGGUUGUCUCAGAGACGU
RNAcentral lists this long non-coding RNA (403 nucleotides) under Phoenix dactylifera (date palm). RNAcentral describes it as "long non-coding RNA (PDAC_LNC011371)". Lineage: Eukaryota; Viridiplantae; Streptophyta; Magnoliopsida; Arecales; Arecaceae. The record is from RNAcentral.